RNAcentral lists this ribosomal RNA (291 nucleotides) under uncultured bacterium. RNAcentral describes it as "partial 16S ribosomal RNA". It matches the Rfam family "Bacterial small subunit ribosomal RNA", at positions 65 to 354 of the family's 1533-position model. The record is from RNAcentral.
CGAGCGGGGGAGCGUUCGCGCUUCCGCCGGCGACCGGCGCACGGGUGAGUAACACGUAUGGAACCUGCCCGCAGCGGGGGAUAAUCGGGGGAAACCCCGUCUAAUACCGCGUAACGACCCGGAGGGGCAUCCCUUCGGGUCCAAAGGUUUACCGGCUGCGGAUGGCCAUGCGUCGCAUUAGCUUGUUGGCGGGGUAACGGCCCACCAAGGCGACGAUGCGUAGGGGUUCUGAGAGGAAGGUCCCCCACACUGGUACUGAGACACGGACCAGACUCCUACGGAAGGCAGCAG